Molecule: ribosomal RNA, 253 nt
Filed under: uncultured bacterium
Lineage: Bacteria
Description: partial 16S ribosomal RNA
Rfam family: Bacterial small subunit ribosomal RNA
Source: RNAcentral
UACAGAGGGUGCGAGCGUUAAUCGGAAUUACUGGGCGUAAAGCGUGCGCAGACGGUCAUGUAAGUCGGGUGUGAAAGCCCCGGGCUCAACCUGGGAAUUGCAUUCGAGACUGUGUGGCUAGGGUGCGGAAGAGGGAAGCGGAAUUUCCGGUGUAGCGGUGAAAUGCGUAGAUAUCGGGAGGAACAUCUGUGGCGAAAGCGGCUCACUGGACCACAACUGACGCUGAGACACGAAAGCGUGGGGAGCAAACAGG